ACAAGCGAAGCAUCAAUAUGCCUUUCGCUUACACCGAAAAAAUGGCUUUAAGCCCGCUUGUU
Molecule: transfer RNA, 62 nt
Filed under: Phascolosoma scolops
Lineage: Eukaryota; Metazoa; Annelida; Sipuncula; Phascolosomatiformes; Phascolosomatidae
Description: tRNA-Val
Source: RNAcentral